UACGUAGGGGGCUAGCGUUGUCCGGAAUCAUUGGGCGUAAAGAGCGUGUAGGCGGUCCGGUAAGUCCGCUGUGAAAGUCGGGGGCUCAACCCUCGAAUGCCGGUGGAUACUGUCGGGCUAGAGUGCGGAAGAGGCGAGUGGAAUUCCUGGUGUAGCGGUGAAAUGCGCAGAUAUCAGGAGGAACACCUAUUGCGAAGGCAGCUCGCUGGGACGUCACUGACGCUGAGACGCGAAAGCGUGGGGAGCAAACAGG
This 253-nucleotide ribosomal RNA is filed under the name uncultured bacterium. Its description in RNAcentral is "partial 16S ribosomal RNA". It matches the Rfam family "Bacterial small subunit ribosomal RNA", at positions 524 to 776 of the family's 1533-position model. The record is from RNAcentral.